This 204-nucleotide long non-coding RNA is filed under the name Mytilus galloprovincialis (Mediterranean mussel). The record is from RNAcentral. Lineage: Eukaryota; Metazoa; Mollusca; Bivalvia; Mytilida; Mytilidae.
CCAAAUCUCUGAUCAUGCUGAUAAUCAACAUUUUUUUAGAUGUAAUAAUGGAAGGGAAUUUAUAAGACAUGCCAGAUAGCAUUCUGAAAAAAGUAACUGAAGACAAUGUUGUUUAUAAUCAACUGAAGAUGUUGUACAAGUAAUUUCCCUGAUUAUUUUAUGUAUUAUAUAACAUCAUUUACCCAUUAAAAAUUCAAAUGGAAA